UAAAGAGGUUAUUUACCCUGUGUUAUUUACAAAACACCUAGUAUACAAAGAAUCUCUAAGGAAGUGAUUCUUUAAUGAUAGAAUAAAUAACCAAGGAAUCUCUCAUUCUUAACUUUGUCAGUAUUUACUUUUAGACGUGGUAUGGUUUGCGAAAGGUCUCGCGUGUGGAAUUUUCUUUAAUCAUAGCGUACAGUAUACGGCUCACUCAAGUCGAUAAGACCAAUGAAUAUGCUGGUUGGUGUGGUCGCACAUGCUGUGGCGCUGGCCUUGAGCCACAGUAAGCUGUGAAAUUUUUAACAAAGGUCUUGUAUUUUAUCUUAUGAAAAAAAGUGUCAGUGUCUAACUAAAUGUUUCACUUCUUAGAAAAACAGAAAAUAUGAAUAAUUUGAAUAAACAAAAAAAUAUCUUUAAAACUAACAAAAAGAAAAAAAAAUUAAAUUCACAAAUUUGUAAGCCCUACAAAGUAUUGCAGAAAUUAUAUGCAGCACAAGCUACUGCACAUUACCUUUUUCUUGUGUAUCAAUUGAUUGUGGUGGAAAGGUUUUCAUUUAAGGAUAUUGUUGCUAAAAUUGUAAUACCUCUUCUUGUCAGAGAAAUAUUGUUCAGCGAGUUAAAAGGUCAUUCGCACCAAUAUUCGAAUAGACUUUCAUAAGGAAAACUUUUAGAUCCCUUUCUUGAAUAUUUAUUUCGCCAUGAAAUCAAGCAUAAUGGCCAAGAUCCAUUUAGUGGAAUUUUAAAACCCACUAAAAACUGUUUCCCUGUGUGCUAAAAGAUCUCUGCCAAUUUUCUUAACAGCAUAGUUUUUUUGAAAAAAAGAAAGCUCUUUCUGGGGUUAUUGCUUAUCAAAAUAUAUAACUAUAUAAUGUAAGUAUAAUAAUACUAAUAUAUACUUUUUUAUGUGAAUUUUUACUUCUAUCAUUAUUAAUAUAUUGUUUUCUCUGCUAA
Long non-coding RNA from Stegodyphus dumicola, 945 nucleotides. NCBI's taxonomy places the organism in Eukaryota, Metazoa, Arthropoda, Arachnida, Araneae, Eresidae. The record is from RefSeq and is a predicted model, not a curated record.